Molecule: ribosomal RNA, 253 nt
Filed under: uncultured bacterium
Lineage: Bacteria
Description: partial 16S ribosomal RNA
Rfam family: Bacterial small subunit ribosomal RNA
Source: RNAcentral
UACGUAGGAGGCAAGCGUUGUCCGGAAUUACUGGGCGUAAAGCGCGUGUAGGUGGUGGGACAAGUCUGCUGUGAAAGCGCCUGGCUUAACCGGGCGAGGUCGGCGGAAACUGUCCGACUCGAGGACGGUAGAGGGGGGUGGAAUUCCCGGUGUAGUGGUGAAAUGCGUAGAGAUCGGGAGGAACACCUGUGGCGAAGGCGGCCCCCUGGGCCGGCCCUGACACUCAGGUGCGAAAGCCAGGGGAGCGAACGGG